RNAcentral lists this non-coding RNA (22 nucleotides) under Arabidopsis thaliana (thale cress). The record is from RNAcentral. Lineage: Eukaryota; Viridiplantae; Streptophyta; Magnoliopsida; Brassicales; Brassicaceae.
UUUUGCACGGAUCUGAAACUGC